UGCCAGACUCCUACGGGAGGCAGCAGUGAGGAAUAUUGGUCAAUGGGCGCGAGCCUGAACCAGCCAAGUCGCGUGAGGGAAGACGGUCCUAUGGAUUGUAAACCUCUUUUGUCGGGGAGCAAAAGACGCCACGUGUGGCGUUCCGAGAGUACCCGAAGAAAAGGCAUCGGCUAACUCCGUGCCAGCAGCCGCGGUAAUACGGAGGAUCCGAGCGUUAUCCGGAUUUAUUGGGUUUAAAGGGAGCGUAGAUGGGUUGUUAAGUCAGUUGUGAAAGUUUGCGGCUCAACCGUAAAAUUGCAAUUGAUACUGGCAGCCUUGAGUACAGUUGAGGUAGGCGGAAUUCGUGGUGUAGCGGUGAAAUGCUUAGAUAUCACGAAGAACUCCGAUUGCGAAGGCAGCCUACUAAACUGCCACUGACAUUGAUGCUCGAAAGUGUGGGUAUCAAACAGGAUUAGAUACCCGUGUAUCC
This 469-nucleotide ribosomal RNA is filed under the name uncultured bacterium. Its description in RNAcentral is "bacterial SSU rRNA". It matches the Rfam family "Bacterial small subunit ribosomal RNA", at positions 329 to 796 of the family's 1533-position model. The record is from RNAcentral.